Non-coding RNA from Camelina sativa (false flax), 314 nucleotides. The record is from RefSeq and is a predicted model, not a curated record. Lineage: Eukaryota; Viridiplantae; Streptophyta; Magnoliopsida; Brassicales; Brassicaceae.
UCUUCUUAUUGCCAACCUUUUGAUGUUUUUCUGCAGGUAUGAACUUUGGAAACCAAAUCUCAGAGCUGUCAUGGAACAUGAUAUGAAUGAAGUUAGUGUUGGGAGGAAGACUAAAGCUGAAGUUCUUGAAACAUGUUUGCAGCAAAUGAAAGCUUGUUUCUUAGAUGCAAGAGUAAAAAAAUCAAAGCUCCUAGAAGCAAUGACAAUUUUCUUUGAAAGAUCUAAUAACACUGAUGAAGGUGAAAAUCAGACAGCUGGUGAAGUUGUCCGACGAUGCAAUCUCUGCAAUGAAUCAGAUAUGGCACUCAGGAAGA